UAAGGAAUAUUGGUCAAUGGACGCAAGUCUGAACCAGCCACGCCGCGUGAAGGAUGAAGGUCCUCUGGAUUGUAAACUUCUUUUAUCUGGGACGAAAACGGGAUUUUUAUCUCAAUUGACGGUACCAGAGGAAUAAGCACCGGCUAACUCCGUGCCAGCAGCCGCGGUAAUACGGAGGGUGCGAGCGUUAUCCGGAUUUACUGGGUUUAAAGGGUGCGUAGGUGGGCUUAUAAGUCAGUGGUGAAAUCUCCGAGCUUAACUUGGAAACUGCCGUUGAUACUAUAGGUCUUGACUUAUCUGGAGGUAAGCGGAAUAUGUCAUGUAGCGGUGAAAUGCUUAGAUAUGACAUAGAACACCAAUUGCGAAGGCAGCUUACUACAUAUAAAUUGACGCUGAGGCACGAAAGCGUGGGGAUCAAACA
RNAcentral lists this ribosomal RNA (421 nucleotides) under uncultured bacterium. Its description in RNAcentral is "bacterial SSU rRNA". It matches the Rfam family "Bacterial small subunit ribosomal RNA", at positions 355 to 774 of the family's 1533-position model. The record is from RNAcentral.